AGUUGCUUUAUGACGCCGGGCGCGUGCGCAUUUAAAACAAUUCUCGAAAGAAAUGUUCACAAAUUAGUUUAAAUUCGAAAACGUUUCGGUAUGGACGCAAGAAAAAGGAAUUCUAAGAAAUAGAAAUUCUAAGCGAAACAACAACGAAAAAGGAAAAUAAUUUAAAUAGGGAUAAUAAUAUACAAAAACAUAACAACAAAAACACAACGGUAUUAAGGAAUCUGUUUCAGAAUUUCAGUGAGUUAAAUCUGUUAAAAAGUUCUGCGGUUAAUUUGUUUGUUUCUUUAACAAAAAACGUAAUCUAAUAUUUUAAUUAUUAUCAUCAGCUCAGCAGCAGUGUAGAAUAUAUUGGCCUAAAAUACUAGAUAUUUUAUGUUAAUAUAUUAAAUUCGAGUGACUUACGUCACCCAAGAUUUUGUACAUUUUCAAGCGAGCAUUGGACUGGGUGUUAAUUAUUUCUAUGCCGGUUUGCUGCAAGUAUUUGUUGUCAUUGAUCAAUUAGCUUCCUAGCUUUCAAGCGAACGGUCGUGUUUUUUUUUUGCGCUCCGAUUCCUAUUUUGUGUUUGUCAAACCAGCCAAGUAUCAUGCUCUCCAUUUCCUAUGUCCUGUAG
This 611-nucleotide long non-coding RNA is filed under the name Drosophila melanogaster (fruit fly). RNAcentral describes it as "flamenco (Dmel_CR46037)". The record is from RNAcentral. Lineage: Eukaryota; Metazoa; Arthropoda; Insecta; Diptera; Drosophilidae.